Molecule: long non-coding RNA, 1256 nt
Organism: Felis catus (domestic cat)
Lineage: Eukaryota; Metazoa; Chordata; Mammalia; Carnivora; Felidae
Exons: 3
Source: RefSeq, a predicted model, not a curated record
GCCCUUUUAAGUGCAUGAUGCAUCUUUUUCACUCUUUGAAGUAACGCUCUGACGGCCAGGAGCAAAGUAACUGGACUUUAAAAGGUCGAGGGUAACGGCUGAGCAGUGAAGAAAAGCUAGCGGGCAGCGCUGUUGCCAUGGGGGGCAGCUGCUGGCUUUUCUCAGGAGCACAAGUAAUUCAGGGCUGAUAAGAGAUUUAAGGAAGAGUGAGUUUGGAUCAAAAACAGGAGAAAGACUCUGGCACCUCAACCAGACCUUAACGUUCCCAUGUACGUAUUUUUACUUCUCUCGGAUCAAACCCCACAAGGAGCUGGAUGUACGGUUGAGAGGACGUAUCCACAUAUCAAAGAGGUGAGCGGUACCGGGCACGGUGCUCAUCACUUCUCACUGCACCCCCGCCCCCGCCCGUCUCCCCAGCCAACGGACCAUGAAACCAUCCACGGAGGAUGCUUCCUGGGGCUCUGACGGGGGAGCUGCAGAUGGAAGGGCUACAGACUGGAGGCACCAUCGGCAGUGGAAGCGACGGGCACUGAGACAGGGCUGACUUACCAUCAAAUCCUUGGUGGUGCUUUUCCUUUCAUUAGGCCUGUUUGCCAAGGAGCCUUGGAGAAGGAAGUUGCGGUUAAAUGUUUUAAUGGUGGCCACUGAAGACGCCUCAAUGUUUUCGGCUAAAAGGAAACACAUGGAAAUCUAAAUUUCUGGUUUGGCAUCAUCGUAAGCGGCUCCUAAAUCCAGGGAAAGUGUUCAAAAUGCCCAGUGGAUGAGGAUGCCACCCCGGCAUUGCUGGACUCCCUUCUGGGCGGGGCGCUGUGUUAGAUGCCUUCGGUGUCCUGCCCACGUUUCCCUGACAUCACCACACAUUCUGUCAUUCAGCACAUUCCGGAAGCAUGUGACCCCAAGCACCGUCACUCCCUUGGCUCAUGCACGGGGUGGGGCAGAAGUACCAGGGAACUAAUGCCUCCCCACCCCCACCGGAAACUUCAGGGGCUGAGGGCUGACAGCUGAUACCCUCAUCUUCCCGUUCUUUGGGCAGAAAACUCUGAGGUGCGGUCAAUACUGUCUCCCAGGAAGUCCCCAGCAGGAUUCAGCCUCAUGUGCCCAGAGAAGUAAGCUAUGAACUAAAUUGCACUGUACCGGGGUGCCUGGGUGGCUCAGUCUGACUCCCAAUUUCAGCUCUGGUCACGAUCUCGCGGUUCAUGAGUUCGAGCCCUGCAUCGGGCUCUGUGCUGACAGUGCAGAGCCUGCUUGGGGAUUCU